UACGGAGGGUGCAAGCGUUAUCCGGAUUUACUGGGGUUAAAGGGUGCGUAGGCGGUCCUUUAAGUCAGUGGUGAAAUCUCCCCGCUCAACGGGGAAACUGCCAUUGAUACUAUUGGUCUUGAAUUUAGUUGAGGUGGGCGGAAUGUGUCGUGUAGCGGUGAAAUGCUUAGAUAUGACACAGAACACCGAUUGCGAAGGCAGCUCGCUAAACUAAUAUUGACGCUGAGGCACGAAAGCGUGGGGAUCAAACAGG
This 253-nucleotide ribosomal RNA is filed under the name uncultured bacterium. Its description in RNAcentral is "partial 16S ribosomal RNA". It matches the Rfam family "Bacterial small subunit ribosomal RNA", at positions 524 to 776 of the family's 1533-position model. The record is from RNAcentral.